GUCCAGGGUAGCCUAGUGGACAUGGCACCUGCCCGGUAAGCAGAAGGUUGUGGGUUCGAUUCCCGCCCUGAACA
This is a non-coding RNA of Cordylochernes scorpioides, 74 nucleotides long. NCBI's taxonomy places the organism in Eukaryota, Metazoa, Arthropoda, Arachnida, Pseudoscorpiones, Chernetidae. The record is from the annotation of a GenBank genome assembly.